Molecule: long non-coding RNA, 589 nt
Organism: Biomphalaria glabrata
Lineage: Eukaryota; Metazoa; Mollusca; Gastropoda; Planorbidae
Exons: 2
Source: RefSeq, a predicted model, not a curated record
CAAAGUCUCAAGUUCUUGACUAAAUUAUUUCAUUUUCAGAUAUUUAUAAGACAAGAGAAUGUUCAAUCAAUUUUCGCUUAUUUUUUUGAGUCUUAUUAUUUUAGUCAGCUGCCAGAAAGAAUGGACUUCAAGCUACACUUGCUUCUCUAAUGAUGAAUGUAGAAAACAAUCCAUCAUUUCUUUGGGCAAAAGAAAUAUCGACGACCAGGAGCAGGAUGAACUAAGCUGCUUGUGCCACGUGACACAGACCCACGAUACUUAUCCUUGUUUUUCCGGUGAUGAAUGCAAAAACAGCUCGCUCAAUUCCAUAAUUAACAAUGUCACUCGUUGCUGUAACAUAGACGACAGCAUUAUCACCGGAAGUAGCACUAUCCUCAACAGCACCAGCUUCAAAAUCGGUCUGUUUUUGAGCAAAAGGAAUGAUUUUUUGAUGCAAAAUCUACUCAACUAACUGAUAGAGGUAUUUGAUAAGUGAAUGAAAAUCUUACAGACAAGAGUAAAUCAAUAGACAGAUGUUGAGAACUGCUUCGCACGUUACAUUUUGUUGAACAUCAAUUCUCUUUUUUCGUAAUGAAAGGAUUGGCAUUUA